RNAcentral lists this ribosomal RNA (480 nucleotides) under uncultured bacterium. RNAcentral describes it as "partial 16S ribosomal RNA". It matches the Rfam family "Bacterial small subunit ribosomal RNA", at positions 28 to 507 of the family's 1533-position model. The record is from RNAcentral.
GAUGAACGCUAGCGGCAGGCCUAACACAUGCAAGUCGAGGGGGAAGUUACUUUCGGGUGACUGAGACCGGCGUACGGGUGCGUAACGCGUAUACAAUCUGCCUUUCACUGGGGGAUAGCCCGAAGAAAUUUGGAUUAAUACCCCAUAGCAUAUAGGGACGUCAUCGUUUUUAUAUUAAAGCUUAGGUGGUGAAAGAUGAGUAUGCGUUCUAUUAGCUAGUUGGAGAGGUAACGGCUCCCCAAGGCGAUGAUAGAUAGGGGUUCUGAGAGGGAUGUCCCCCACACUGGUACUGAGAUACGGACCAGACUCCUACGGGAGGCAGCAGUGAGGAAUAUUGUGCAAUGGCCGGAAGACUGAUCCAGCCAUGCCGCGGGCAGGAGGUAGGUCUUAUGGAUUGUAAACUGCUUUUGUAAGGGAAGAAUAAGGGCUACGCGUAGUUUGAUGACGGUACCUUACGAAUAAGCAUCGGCUAACUCCGUG